Molecule: small nuclear RNA, 104 nt
Filed under: Sorex araneus (European shrew)
Lineage: Eukaryota; Metazoa; Chordata; Mammalia; Eulipotyphla; Soricidae
Source: RNAcentral
GUGCUCACUUCAGCAACGCAUACACUUAAAACUGGAAUGGUACAGAAAAGAAUUAGCAUGGCACCUGCUCAAGGAUGCAAAUUUGUGAAGUGCUUUCUGUUUUA